RNAcentral lists this ribosomal RNA (414 nucleotides) under uncultured eukaryote. RNAcentral's name for it is "SSU rRNA". It matches the Rfam family "Eukaryotic small subunit ribosomal RNA", at positions 592 to 1017 of the family's 1831-position model. The record is from RNAcentral.
CAAUAGCGUAUAUUAAAGUUGUUGCAGUUAAAAGCUCGUAGUUGGACUUCGGAGUGGCACGGCCGGUCCGCCGCAAGGUGUGUCACUGGCCGGCGCUCUUCUUCGCAAGACUGCGUGUGCUCUUGACUGAGUGUGCGCAGGACUUGCGACGUUUACUUUGAAAAAUUAGAGUGUUCAAAGCAGGCCAGCGCUUGGAUACAUAAGCAUGGAAUAAUGGAAUAGGACUUUGGUUCUAUUUUGUUGGUUUCUGGAACCGAAGUAAUGAUUAAGAGGGACAGUUGGGCGAUUCGGUAUUUCGUUGUCAGAGGUGAAAUUCUUGGAUUUACGAAAGACGAACUACUGCGAAAGCAUUUGCCAAGAAUGUUUUCAUUAAUCAAGAACGAAAGUUAGAGGAUCGAAGAUGAUUAGAUACCA